AUCUGUAGAGAUACGGAGUCCCUUCGGGGACGCUAAGACAGGUGGUGCAUGGCUGUCGUCAGCUCGUGUCGUAGAGAUGUUGGGUUAAGUCCCGCAACGAGCGCAACCCUUGUUAUUAGUUGCCAGCAUUAAGUUGGGCACUCUAAUGAGACUGCCGGUGACAAACCGGAGGAAGGUGGGGAUGACGUCAAGUCAUCAUGCCCCUUAUGACCUGGGCUACACACGUGCUACAAUGGGCAGUACAACGAGAAGCAAGCCUGCGAAGGCAAGCGAAUCUCUGAAAGCUGUUCUCAGUUCGGACUGCAGUCUGCAACUCGACUGCACGAAGCUGGAAUCGCUAG
Molecule: ribosomal RNA, 341 nt
Filed under: uncultured bacterium
Lineage: Bacteria
Description: bacterial SSU rRNA
Rfam family: Bacterial small subunit ribosomal RNA
Source: RNAcentral